GGCGGGCAUAUCCCAAUGAUCUUCGACUCGCUGCCUACGGUCGUGAAUGCCUCCAAGGGGGGGCUCGUGCGUGUCCUUGCCCUGACCGGUCUGAAGCGUUCGCCUUUGCUUCCGGAUGUCCCGACGCUCGAUGAAUCCGGCGUGAAGGGUUUCAAUGUGCAGGCGUGGUUCGGCCUUUAUAUGCCGCAGGCGAAUAACUCGCCGAUCUACAAGAAGCUGGUCGCGGCGAUGAAAGAAGUGAAUGAAUCUCCGGAGACCAGGCAAAAGCUGGCCGAAAUGGGUGUCGAGCCCGGC
Molecule: unclassified non-coding RNA, 294 nt
Filed under: Hevea brasiliensis (rubber tree)
Lineage: Eukaryota; Viridiplantae; Streptophyta; Magnoliopsida; Malpighiales; Euphorbiaceae
Source: RNAcentral